This 301-nucleotide ribosomal RNA is filed under the name uncultured bacterium. RNAcentral's name for it is "partial 16S ribosomal RNA". It matches the Rfam family "Bacterial small subunit ribosomal RNA", at positions 509 to 809 of the family's 1533-position model. The record is from RNAcentral.
CAGUCGCCGCGGUAAUACGUAGGGUGCGAGCGUUAAUCGGAAUUACUGGGCGUAAAGCGUGCGCAGGCGGUUGUGUAAGACAGGUGUGAAAUCCCCGGGCUUAACCUGGGAACUGCGCUUGUGACUGCACAGCUAGAGUAUGGCAGAGGGGGGUGGAAUUCCACGUGUAGCAGUGAAAUGCGUAGAGAUGUGGGGGAACACCGAUGGCGAAGGCAGCCCCCUGGGCCAAUACUGACGCUCAUGCACGAAAGCGUGGGGAGCGAACAGGAUUAGAUACCCCGGUAGUCCAUGUCUCUUAUAA